RNAcentral lists this unclassified non-coding RNA (226 nucleotides) under Hevea brasiliensis (rubber tree). The record is from RNAcentral. Lineage: Eukaryota; Viridiplantae; Streptophyta; Magnoliopsida; Malpighiales; Euphorbiaceae.
ACGCUUUUCUCUCCUUCUCAUUCACUUCAUUCCUCUACUGUAUAUCACCAAACAAUCACUCUCUCUUCUCUUUUCUUCCUUUCUUUCUAUCUAAAACUAGCCAAAGUUAUGAUCAAUCUUUGAAUUUUUUUCCAAUUAAGUUUUAUUCUAGGUGACUCGAGGUAAGAUGUCUGGUUAUGUGGGUGUACUUGUUUCUGAUCCGUGGCUUCAAAGCCAGUUCACCCAA